CAAUAGCGUAUAUUAAAGUUGUUGCGGUAAAAAAGCUCGUAGUUGGAUUUCUGUUGAGAACGACCGGUCCACACAACGUGUGCGCAUCUGGUUCGGUCUCGGCAUCCUCUCGCAAGACUACUCUGCGCUUGAUUGCGUGGAUAGGAUUACGGGACUUUUACCUUGAGAAAAUUAGAGUGUUUCAGGCAGGCUUUCGCCGGAAUACAUUAGCAUGGAAUAAUGGAAAAGGACUUCAACCUCUUCUGUUGGUCUGAGAGGCUGUAGUAAUGAUUAAUAGGGAUAGUUGGGGGUGCUAGUAUUGAGCGGCCAGAGGUGAAAUUCUUGGAUUCGCUCAAGACUAACUUAUGCGAAAGCAUUCACCAAGGAUGUCUUCUUUAAUCAAGAACGAAAGUUGGGGGAUCGAAGACGAUUAGAUACCAU
Molecule: ribosomal RNA, 420 nt
Filed under: uncultured eukaryote
Lineage: Eukaryota
Description: bacterial SSU rRNA
Rfam family: Eukaryotic small subunit ribosomal RNA
Source: RNAcentral